Molecule: ribosomal RNA, 302 nt
Filed under: uncultured bacterium
Lineage: Bacteria
Description: partial 16S ribosomal RNA
Rfam family: Bacterial small subunit ribosomal RNA
Source: RNAcentral
GCAGCAGCCGCGGGAAUACGAAGGGUGCAAGCGUUAAUCGGAAUUACUGGGCGUAAAGCGUGCGUAGGCGGAUCGAUCAGUCAGGGGUGAAAUCCCAGAGCUCAACUCUGGAACUGCCUUUGAUACUGUCGAUCUGGAGUAUGGAAGAGGUGAGUGGAAUUCCGAGUGUAGAGGUGAAAUUCGUAGAUAUUCGGAGGAACACCAGUGGCGAAGGCGGCUCACUGGUCCAUUACUGACGCUGAGGUGCGAAAGCGUGGGGAGCAAACAGGAUUAGAUACCCGUGUAGUCCCUGUCUCUUAUAC